UCAUGUGCUUUCUACUCCACAGGUUUCAGAUGCCACUGCACUACUAACUCCCCAGUGCUUUUGAGGCAUGUGUUAGACAUGUUCUCCUCUGUUGGAAGUCCUUGUGGCAACUUCAAUUCUUAUCAAAUGCUUAACCACUUUCAAUUUUGCAUUCACUGAAGGGAUAUUCUGGUGUCUGUAGUCUGCCUGGGGGCCUCUGAACUACUAAGCGCAAAGUCUCAGCCGUAAGUGUAGUGAUUGCUCUCUUUAGAGGCAGCACUCGCUAAACGUUCAGACUGAACUUUUCCACCGAAGGGCGGGAUCAGAGUUUUUAAGGAUAAUUUGGCGGGUAUGGGCUCAGAAAGUGGGGAGUGCUGAUUGGUCAGAUUGCAGAUGAAAUCAUAGGGGGUCAAAGUGAGUUCUUGCUGACUUCUGUUCCUGAGUGGGAUUGCAGAACUGGUUGAGCCAGAUUGUUGGUCUGGGUGGUGUCAUCUGCUGCAUCGCAAUGCAGGGUCUGCAAAAUAUCUCAAGUACUGAUCUUAGGUUUUGCAACA
RNAcentral lists this long non-coding RNA (533 nucleotides) under Pan troglodytes (chimpanzee). RNAcentral's name for it is "long non-coding RNA NONPTRT015178". The record is from RNAcentral. Lineage: Eukaryota; Metazoa; Chordata; Mammalia; Primates; Hominidae.